Salarias fasciatus (jewelled blenny) is the source of this 532-nucleotide non-coding RNA. NCBI's taxonomy places the organism in Eukaryota, Metazoa, Chordata, Actinopteri, Blenniiformes, Blenniidae. The record is from the annotation of a RefSeq genome assembly.
GUUUGAUCUAUGAAUCAAGUGGAAACACAACAUCAUGAUCAUCUUCUUCUGUGUAACCUUCAAUGUUUUCCUGGUUUCAGUGUCUUCUCAAAGUGAUCAAGUUCACCAGAAUCCUCGUCACAUUUACUCCCAAACUGGACAAACGGCCACAAUCACGUGUCGGCAUGAACUUCAGGACUACACCUGGAUCUUCUGGUACAAGCAGCCCAGCGGCAGCAGCCACAUGGAGCUCCUCGGAUACAUGAACGUGAAUAACGGGCUAAUGGAGGACGGAGUGACGGCGAAGCUGAGCGGCGGUGCGAUGAAGGGUCAAACGUGCACGUUCACAGCCGAGAAGCUCCAGCUCAGCAGCACUGCUGUGUACUUCUGUGCUGCUUCUCGGCACAGUGCAACUUUUCCCUGCUCCUCAAUACAAAAACCAGCAUGAAUCAUGUCAGGAGGGUGCACCUGGCUCUCCCCUCAGUCCCUGGUCUCCCCCUGCAGAGCCACAUCAGAUAAAAGGGUGGAGCUUCAGGGAGGAAACAAAAGCCUG